RNAcentral lists this ribosomal RNA (534 nucleotides) under uncultured bacterium. RNAcentral's name for it is "bacterial SSU rRNA". It matches the Rfam family "Bacterial small subunit ribosomal RNA", at positions 8 to 526 of the family's 1533-position model. The record is from RNAcentral.
AGAGUUUGAUCAUGGCUCAGGACGAACGCUGGCGGCAUGCCUGAUACAUGCAAGUCGAGCGACCCGAGAUGCUUGCUCUCAAUGGGUCAGCGGCGGACGGGUGAGUAACACGUGGGCAACCUGCCCAACAGACUGGGAUAACCCCGGGAAACCGGGGCUAAUACCGGAUAGCCUCUUUUAAUUACCUGAUUGAAAGAGAAAAGGCGGUUUUUCCGUCACUGUUGGAUGGGCCCGCGGCGCAUUAGCUAGUUGGUGGGGUAAUGGCCUACCAAGGCGACGAUGCGUAGCCGACCUGAGAGGGUGAUCGGCCACACUGGGACUGAGACACGGCCCAGACUCCUACGGGAGGCAGCAGUAGGGAAUCAUCUGCAAUGGGCGAAAGCCUGACGGUGCAAUGCCGCGUGAGUGAAGAAGGUUUUCGGAUCGUAAAGCUCUGUUGUGAGGGAAGAACAGUGACGGGAGGCAAUGCCCAUCAUAUGACGGUACCUCACCAGAAAGCCACGGCUAACUACGUGCCAGCAGCCGCGGUAAUAC